RNAcentral lists this ribosomal RNA (635 nucleotides) under uncultured Sebacinales. Its description in RNAcentral is "eukaryotic LSU rRNA". It matches the Rfam family "Eukaryotic large subunit ribosomal RNA", at positions 1 to 582 of the family's 3401-position model. The record is from RNAcentral. Lineage: Eukaryota; Fungi; Basidiomycota; Agaricomycetes; Sebacinales.
ACUAUAUGGGCUCUAUGCUUCAAACCGUCUGCCAUGUGGAAAUUUCUUGACAAUUUAACCUCAAAUCGGGUGGGACUACCCGCUGAACUUAUGCAUAUCAAUAAGCGGAGGAAAAGAAACUAACAAGGAUUCCCCUAGUAACGGCGAGUGAAGAGGGAAAAGCUCAAAUUUUAAAUCUGGUGUCUUUGACUCCCGAGUUGUAAUCUAGAGAAGUGUUUUCCGUGUCGGCCCGUGUACAAGUUCCCUGGAACGGGGCGUCAUAGAGGGUGAGAAUCCCGUAUAUGCCACGGACUACCGAUGCUCUGUGAUACACUCUCAACGAGUCGAGUUGUUUGGGAAUGCAGCUCAAAAUGGGUGGUAAAUUCCAUCUAAAGCUAAAUAUUGGCGAGAGACCGAUAGCGAACAAGUACCGUGAGGGAAAGAUGAAAAGCACUUUGGAAAGAGAGUGAAACAGUACGUGAAAUUGUUGAAAGGGAAGCGUUUGAAGUCAGUCGCAUCUGUUGGGGUUCAGCCUGGCUUUUACSAAGGUGUAUUUCCUUUCCGAUGGGUCAGCAUCAGUUUCGACCGAGGGAAAAAGACAUUUGGAAUGUGGCUGUCAACGAGCAGUGUUAUAGCCUUGUGUUGUAUGUCUCGGU